RNAcentral lists this ribosomal RNA (466 nucleotides) under uncultured bacterium. RNAcentral's name for it is "partial 16S ribosomal RNA". It matches the Rfam family "Bacterial small subunit ribosomal RNA", at positions 28 to 507 of the family's 1533-position model. The record is from RNAcentral.
GACGAACGCUGGCGGCGUGCUUAACACAUGCAAGUCGAACGGAAAGGCCCUGCUUGCAGGGUCCUCGAGUGGCGAACGGGUGAGUAAUACCUUGGUGAUCUGCCCUGCUCUUCGGGAUAAGCUUGGGAAACUGGGUCUAAUACCGGAUAAGAGCUAUCUCUAGUGUGGUUGUUGGAAAGUUUUUUUGGUGUAGGAUUAGCUUACGGCCUGUCAGCUUGUUGGUGGGGUAAUGGCCUACCAAGGCGGCGACGGGUGGCCGGCCUGAGAGGGUGGACGGCCACAAUGGGACUGGGGACCGGGCCAGGCUCCUGCGGGGGGCAGGAGGGGGGAAUAUUGCACAAUGGGCGCAAGGCUGAAGCAGGGACGCCGCGUGGGGGGUGAAGGCCUUCGGGUUGUGAACUCCUUUGGCUAGGGACGAAGGUUUUUUGUGACGGUACCUAGAGAAGAAGCACCGGCUAACUACGUG